UUGGAGGGCAAGUCUGGUGCCAGCAGCCGCGGUAAUUCCAGCUCCAAUAGCGUAUAUUAAAGUUGUUGCAGUUAAAAAGCUCGUAGUUGAAUUUCGGGGUUAGUAGGCUGGUCGUGCCACCGGUAUGUACUGGUCUUACUGAUUCCUCCUUCCUGAUGAACUGUAAUGCCAUUAAUUUGGUGUUGCAGGGAAUCUGGACUGUUACUUUGAAAAAAUUAGAGUGUUUAAAGCAGGCUAACGCUUGAAUACAUUAGCAUGGAAUAAUGAAAUAGGACGUUCGAUCCUAUUUUGUUGGUUUCUAGGAUUGACGUAAUGAUUAAUAGGGAUAGUUGGGGGCAUUAGUAUUCAAUUGUCAGAGGUGAAAUUCUUGGAUUUAUUGAAGACUAACUACUGCGAAAGCAUUUGCCAAGGAUGUUUUCAUUAAUCAAGAACGAAAGUUAGGGGAUCGAAGACGAUCAGAUACCGUCGUAGUCUUAACCAUAAACUAUGCCGACUAGGGAUCGGAUGAUGUUAAUUUUUUAAUGACUCAUUCGGCGCCUUACGGGAAAC
This 549-nucleotide ribosomal RNA is filed under the name uncultured Glomus. RNAcentral describes it as "SSU rRNA". It matches the Rfam family "Eukaryotic small subunit ribosomal RNA", at positions 548 to 1098 of the family's 1831-position model. The record is from RNAcentral. Lineage: Eukaryota; Fungi; Glomeromycota; Glomeromycetes; Glomerales; Glomeraceae.